This 564-nucleotide unclassified non-coding RNA is filed under the name Hevea brasiliensis (rubber tree). The record is from RNAcentral. Lineage: Eukaryota; Viridiplantae; Streptophyta; Magnoliopsida; Malpighiales; Euphorbiaceae.
AUACUUUUGAGCAUAGUGAAUCAUACAUGUGAGUUCAAAACGGUGAAAAAGUUGUGAGAGCAGACUUAAAGAUUCUUACUACAAAUUCUGUCGCCUUUGUCGUGACAUUGAACAUUAGUACUUCUAUGAUGGUAUUGUAAUUGGUAAUUUUUUAGUAUUAAGAAGAACCAUUAGCAACUCAUAGUCACUUUAUGAACAGAGCCAUAGUUACCUUAAUCUAAAAUUUUCACCCUCAAGAUUUAGAACAAUGAAUCUCUCUCUUUUGCGUUAAGUUUACCUUUGAAUCAUAAGACUUGCUCUAUCAAGUUGCUAAUAUAAAUUUUGAAGAAUAUUGUUCAUCUUUGUAUUAAUGCAGACUGCUUGCUUUCUGCAACAGUGUGCUAGAUUACCAUUCUCAUAUUCCACGAUUAUUUGCAGCGUGGAAUUUGAAAAUAUGCAGACCACUACUUCGUUUUGGAUAAAUCAUAUAUUUGUUUUCUUUUUGUGAAAUUAAGCUAUUCUAUCUAUAAAAUGAGAAUUUUGUAAUGAUAUUGGCAGGUGAAGUGUGUUUAUUAUCUAGGCUUG